GAUGAACGCUGGCGGCGUGCCUAAUACAUGCAAGUCGAGCGAACAGACGAGGAGCUUGCUCCUCUGACGUUAGCGGCGGACGGGUGAGUAACACGUGGAUAACCUACCUAUAAGACUGGGAUAACUUCGGGAAACCGGAGCUAAUACCGGAUAAUAUAUUGAACCGCAUGGUUCAAUAGUGAAAGACGGUUUUGCUGUUACUUAUAGAUGGAUCCGCGCCGCAUUAGCUAGUUGGUAAGGUAACGGCUUACCAAGGCAACGAUGCGUAGCCGACCUGAGAGGGUGAUCAGCCACACUGGAACUGAGACACGGUCCAGACUCCUACGGGAGGCAGCAGUAGGGAAUCUUCCGCAAUGGGCGAAAGCCUGACGGAGCAACGCCGCGUGAGUGAUGAAGGUCUUCGGAUCGUAAAACUCUGUUGUUAGGGAAGAACAAAUGUGUAAGUAACUAUGCACGUCUUGACGGUACCUAAUCAGAAAGCCACGGCUAACUACGUG
This 497-nucleotide ribosomal RNA is filed under the name uncultured bacterium. RNAcentral describes it as "partial 16S ribosomal RNA". It matches the Rfam family "Bacterial small subunit ribosomal RNA", at positions 28 to 507 of the family's 1533-position model. The record is from RNAcentral.